RNAcentral lists this long non-coding RNA (1287 nucleotides) under Mus musculus (house mouse). RNAcentral describes it as "long non-coding RNA chr6:117988037-117989324". The record is from RNAcentral. Lineage: Eukaryota; Metazoa; Chordata; Mammalia; Rodentia; Muridae.
GACUCUUCUUAUCCCAUUUCCUGCCUUGCCAAUCCUAUCUGCUGUGGCCAUCUCACUUGAUUUGAUUUCUUUGUGUAGUUCAAAAUGGAUUUUUCUUUAAAUUAUUACUAUUAUUAUUAAACAGUCACAGUCAUAGUUUGUUUUUUCUGACCCUGGGGAUCAAAUAGAGAGCUUUGGGCAGAUGAGGCCAGCCCUGUACUGAGCUACAACCCAGACCUGAACCCAAGUUUUUCUUUUGACCUUGAGACAGCCUCUUGCUAUAUGACCCAGGCUGCCUUGAACUCAUAGUCUCUGUUGGCUUUUUGAGGGCAGGGAUUUCAGGAGUGCACCUCCAAGGCAAUUUUGUUGUAGCUUUCAGAACUGAUAUUUAAACCCAGCUUAGCGCUCUCCGAUGCGCUACGUCUGAGUCCCAAGCCUGAUUGUCUGCAGGUGAGGAAGGCAGUGAUUUUUGUUGACUCUGUCUCUGGAGCCUGGGUUGGACUGGAAGUCCCUGCGUAGCUCAGGCUACCUCUUAGCUAUGGUCCAGCUCAGCCUCCUGAGUGUUGGGAUCACAGGUGUCAGCCUUUGGGCCCGGCUUUACCAGUGACUUUGAUGAGUCCUUUCAUUUGAAGCCAUGACUUGAGGUUGCCCUGGCACUGUGAGGUGGCUUUGUGAGGUUGCCCCGGCACUGUGAGGUGGCUUUGCUCCCCAACCUCCUUUGGGAAUGCUGAGAACUUCCUCUGCAGACUUCCAUGAUGGCUUCAGGCUUCCUUGGAGUUUGUAUUGGGGUCUUUAUUUCCCCUAUCUCCAGUGAGAUUUCUUUUCUACUUCAGUUCCAUUUCUGGCUUGUUCUCUGGACCUUCACUUGAGGUCUAGGUUCUGACACUUAUGGAGUCUCUACAUUUGGCAGGGCCAUUCUCUUCUUGCCAAAAAGUGUGUUGGGACCACAACUCUUGUUUGGAGACCCUGGUCUUGUGGCAUUCCUUCGCAUCUUGCCAUUUCCUUUAGCUGUGGUACUAGAUGGGCCUCCAUGUGCCCCUUCAUCGUCUACUCUAGGUUAGGCUCUUUCAGUGAGUUUUUUCCUUCUGGGACCCAGGGUCCAUCACCACUGAUUUUCUGUGCCUUGUCACUUUGAAGUAAGGCCAAGGAAACCUUUAGUCUUUUGUGUCAACUUUCAAUUUUUCUUCAACUUAGUUUUCAUAAUAUUUUAUCUUUUUCUUUUUUUCUCAAUGACUUUCUUCAGACUGUGGGAAGAUAUGUAGUCUUUCGUCUCGAGAGCUGACAAGUGAAAAGAGGGAAGGCAACUGU